GUUUUUUCAGUGGUAUGAUUCUUGCAAUUAUUUGAUAAGAACAAGAUUUUCCUCAUCAAUAAAGACGGCUAUAAGCAUUAGACGAUGUUAUCAAUCCAACUAUUAUUAGUAUCUUUCAACAUUAUUGUCUGAUACAAAAAUAAUAAUAGAAUAAGCAUAGCAGCCAUGACCAUUUGACUAUGACUUCAGGACAAUCUGCUCAGCUAUUUCGAUCAUCCUUAGCUUGAGGGAAACAUCUGCAAAGAAAUAAUAUCUCUAAUCUCAUAAAAAUUAAGGUGUUUACCACAUUGAAAUCUACAAUGAGCGAAAUGAUCAAUGCGGACUUUUUGUAAUCAUUUCCUGAAACCAAACCACUUUGCCAGGAAGAACUUAUUCUUUCCUCGAGUGGCAUCAGAAUUUGCUUGCACAGUUGCUGCUGGUUUUGGUUUGUCUCUGUUGGGAUUUGCAUUUUUCACAUCCUUAGACUUCUUAUCUGAAUUUUGUACAAUGGCUUCAUUGUUAUGGACAGAAGUUGACUUAGCCUCCGCUUCCUUGUGCUCCAUCUGUGCCGUGCUGUGGAGACCACUCUCACUAGGGGGCUUUCCAUAGUUGUACCGCAAAGCCUCAAGGAAGGAACUGUCCCUUUGAUGUUGCAUUAAUUGAUCAAAAAGGGCAUUUCGAUAAUUGGGGACUGAACCAACUUGUAGCAACUGAACUGCCUCUGCGUCUCUUGUCAUUGACAAUUUAGUAGAUGCAUUCAAAUUUUGUGUAUCUAAAAGGAUACCUGCAAGCAAAAGCUUUUUGAGCACUGGGGUUUGAAGCAGAUCAUAAGCAUCUUCACAGUAAUUAUCUGUAAGAAUAGUGCACUGAGAUCCAACCUCAUUAUCAUUUUUCAGUAUAUCUUGUCCAACCACAAGGAUGGUUAAUUUCCCUGCCAAAAUUAGACUCUCCAAAUCCACCUCAUCAGCAAAGAGCAAUGAGGUAGCCUCAAGGCCAACGUGAUGGAAGAGCCAUGCUGCCUGCCUUUGCUUCCACAUUGUGCCUCUCCUUACAUUCAUCACCGGCACCACUACAUAACCAUCUCCACCUCCCUCUCCUUUAUUCUUAAUGAACCUAUUCUCCAACAACCAUGCAUAGCAAAUUGCCGCUACCAUUGAACUUGUACCUGUGUUUGAAGGGCCAGAAAGGAUAACUUUGGCCUUCGAAUCAAUCUCCCCAUUCAGAAUCUUCUCAAUCUCGAUUCUUUGGUUCUUAAGGAACCCAUUCAGACUAACUUCUCGUUCGCCCUCCUCUUCAUUCUGCUGCCACCCAUUUACAUUAGGCUUUGGUGCAAUUUUCUCAAUGGAACACGUCGACCUCGCAAUUGACCUUCUAUGAGCAGACUCUACGACAUUCCUUGGUGGAGACAGGAGCUGUUUCUCCGGUUGGGAACAUGUUGAGGAUGAUAUUGAUCUCCGGUGAGCUGACUCAAUGAGAUUUUUUGGAGGAGAGAGCAUCUGGGUCUCAGGUAAUGGGGCUGGCUUGAAAGUUCUGCUUGAGGGUACUGGUACUCCUUGGGAAGGUGGCUCAGUUUGGAAGCGGGACUUGCGGUAGGUUGGCUGCCAAGGCUGCACUGUUAGGGCCAUUGGAUCAAUGGAAUGGGUGGGAGAGUCGUUGGGUUGGUGGGAUUGAGGAUUGGAGGGUUUGAGCAUGUUUGAAAACCACUGUUGAACCUGUGAUGCAGGGGAUGGCUCUGAGGGAGAGCUAGGCAUGCUAUCUAAUGAUUCUGAUUUAUUACGGCUGUGCUUUGCUGAUUUUGUAAGUAUCUCUCCACUGAAGCCUUCUAAUGCUCUGUGCCUGUGGAGAAAUACUUAAAAGUUGGAUAAUUCUUAAUUUCACAAUAAAAUGUAUGUGUACAUCACGAAAACGUACCUUCUAGCAGACCUAGAGAGAGGAUCCCUCCUAUCAAGUAAUGAAGAUGAGGAAAACCUGCCAGGAAUGGCCGCGAACCUUGGUGACCCAACGAGCCUGGAAGGCGAGUCACAGCGCGAAGGAGAUGACGCCACCAUCCGUCUGGCCUCUUCUAGCCACUCCUCGGUUAACCUGCUGCUGUUGCUCCUGGUGCUGUCAUCGAAGCUUCCUUCUUCGUCCUCCAAGCGACUCCCAGUCAAGUUAUAAGCUUUCUUAUCAUUGUGCACAGUUCCAAAGAACAUGUCAUUCAUGAAAUCUGUGAGGUCCAGUGCUUGUUGAGUUUUGCUUGGUGGGCGAGAUUCUACUGGCUUCUUUUGCAGAGUGAUAGAGCCUCUCGAGGACUUCCUGCUCAAUCUCCUUUCCAUCAUUGUAUCAGGAAGAUGCAGAGAGAAGGAUGUUUGAUUUUGGUCAAGAAGACGAGGAGAUUAAUGUACAUUGACGUAUCUGUUUUGUUGAUGAAUUGAUUCAUUGAGAAUAUCAGCAAGGGAAGAAUGUUGGCCGGCUGCCGGUGGGAAUGUCUUUUUCCUUGUAAAGCUUGUACAAGCAAUCUAUUCCUAGGCAGUUCCUUGUUGGUAUUUUCAAGAAUUUGUUGGCAAAACAAUCGCAUUACAAUGCUUUAGCAACUAUGCAACCGCGUAUAUAUUUAUGGAAAUUACGUCAAAGUAUCACAUGUUUU
RNAcentral lists this unclassified non-coding RNA (2605 nucleotides) under Hevea brasiliensis (rubber tree). Lineage: Eukaryota; Viridiplantae; Streptophyta; Magnoliopsida; Malpighiales; Euphorbiaceae. The record is from RNAcentral.